Long non-coding RNA from Salvia miltiorrhiza (redroot sage), 1064 nucleotides. RefSeq lists it as uncharacterized. Lineage: Eukaryota; Viridiplantae; Streptophyta; Magnoliopsida; Lamiales; Lamiaceae. The record is from RefSeq and is a predicted model, not a curated record. The transcript is spliced from 2 exons.
CUUUUACUCUGUUUCAAACAAAUCAGCACAAUUUAUUCUCACAAGAAAAACGCAGAUGGAGGACCUUAUUCACCAAAUUCCCUCUUUCAAGAACAGAACUUGAAUUUACAAAGUUUUUGUUGCUGCAUACUUUCACACCACAAGAAGUUUGGUUUUAAAGGACUCUCCCUCAACAAAUCAUUAUCACAAGGCUUUGUGACCAGGGGGAUUAGCGCUGCUUUCCCAAGACAGGUUUAUAUGUGAUUAUGAUCUUCAGGCUUUGCCUAACCAGGUGGGCUUACUUUCCAAAUGUACAAAGUAUGAUUGAGUUAUUAAGCUCUAAAUGUUUCAAUGAAAUGCAAAUUGUUUAUUUAAUGUAAUGAAAACUGUUUAUCCAAUAAAAUAUUUUGUGCACUCUGCUCUGUUUAAGGCUCGCAUAAGUUAAUCGAUCGAGGUUCUCUUAUGACCUAACACGUUGUUUGAGAAUUGUGUACACCUAUUAGCUGACUCGGUGGGUUGAUCUCCAUUCGGGCACUAAUCAUGUAUGAGGCGUUAUAAGGGUGCUCGACGGGAUGUGUUCCGGAGCAUUGGGUCCCAAAUGGGAACUUGACUGGGUUACGCCCUCAGUUCAAGUAAAGCGGGAGAUAUGGAUCCGUCGGUGGCUAAAAGGUCCGGGAUCACAGCGAGUAACGGAAAGGGAGUGUGACAUGUGCGCACAAAUGAAAAAUGUUUUAACAUGCUUAGAAGUUAUUUCAUUUUAAAACCUUCUAAGUCAUGUCAAGUAUAAUUGGAUAAACUGCUCUUUACGAAAAUAUAAAAUGUUUCAGAAAAUGCAUGCCCACUAAGUACAUUAGUACUUAGCCCAAAAAUACUUUCAAAUGUUUUCAGGUUGGCUGGCCGGUGCUGACGGGACGGAGCUGAGGCUAGCGAUAAAUUCCUAUGUUAGACUUCCGCUGUAGCAAUUACUCAUAUCAGUCUUUUGUUUUCCCAACUUAAGAUCUUCAUGUUAAAUUUCAAAUGAUAUACCUGACAGAGCUUAGACUCUUCACUACUAAAUUUAUGCUAAUGAAUGUCGGUUGUCAGAA